AUUGAACGCUGGCGGCAUGCCUUACACAUGCAAGUCGAACGGCAGCACGGGAGCAAUCCUGGUGGCGAGUGGCGAACGGGUGAGUAAUAUAUCGGAACGUGCCCACGUAGUGGGGGAGUAACUGCUCGAAAGAGCAGCUAAUACCGCAUACGACCUGAGGGUGAAAGGGGGGGAGUCGCAAGACCUCUCGCUAUUGGAGCGGCCGAUAUCAGAUUAGCUAGUUGGUGGGGUAAAGGCCUACCAAGGCAACGAUCUGUAGUUGGUCUGAGAGGACGACCAGCCACACUGGGACUGAGACACGGCCCAGACUCCUACGGGAGGCAGCAGUGGGGAAUUUUGGACAAUGGGCGCAAGCCUGAUCCAGCAAUGCCGCGUGCAGGAAGAAGGCCUUCGGUU
RNAcentral lists this ribosomal RNA (396 nucleotides) under uncultured bacterium. RNAcentral describes it as "bacterial SSU rRNA". It matches the Rfam family "Bacterial small subunit ribosomal RNA", at positions 30 to 423 of the family's 1533-position model. The record is from RNAcentral.